GACGAAGGGGGCUAGCGUUGUUCGGAAUUACUGGGCGUAAAGCGCGUGUAGGCGGUUGCCCAAGUCGGGUGUGAAAGCCUUGAGCUCAACUCAAGAAAUGCACUCGGUACUGGGUGACUAGAGGACCGGAGAGGAUAGUGGAAUUCCCAGUGUAGUGGUGAAAUACGUAGAGAUUGGGAAGAACACCAGUGGCGAAGGCGGCUCUCUGGGCCUUUCCUGACGCUGAGACGCGAAAGCGUGGGGAGCGAACCGG
RNAcentral lists this ribosomal RNA (253 nucleotides) under uncultured bacterium. RNAcentral's name for it is "partial 16S ribosomal RNA". It matches the Rfam family "Bacterial small subunit ribosomal RNA", at positions 524 to 776 of the family's 1533-position model. The record is from RNAcentral.